This 432-nucleotide ribosomal RNA is filed under the name uncultured bacterium. RNAcentral's name for it is "partial 16S ribosomal RNA". It matches the Rfam family "Bacterial small subunit ribosomal RNA", at positions 29 to 506 of the family's 1533-position model. The record is from RNAcentral.
AGCGAACGCUGGCGGCAGGCUUAACACAUGCAAGUCGAGCGGGCCCUUCGGGGUCAGCGGCAGACGGGUGAGUAACACGUGGGAACGUACCCUUUGGUUCGGAAUAACGCUGGGAAACUAGCGCUAAUACCGGAUACGCCCUUUUGGGGAAAGGCUUGCUGCCGAAGGAUCGGCCCGCGUCUGAUUAGCUAGUUGGUGGGGUAAUGGCCUACCAAGGCGACGAUCAGUAGCUGGUCUGAGAGGAUGAUCAGCCACACUGGGACUGAGACACGGCCCAGACUCCUACGGGAGGCAGCAGUGGGGAAUAUUGGACAAUGGGCGCAAGCCUGAUCCAGCCAUGCCGCGUGAGUGAUGAAGGCCUUAGGGUUGUAAAGCUCUUUUGUCCGGGACGAUAAUGACGGUACCGGAAGAAUAAGCCCCGGCUAACUUCGG